UACGGAGGGGGCGAGCGUUAUUCGGAAUUAUUGGGCGUAAAGGGCGCGUAGGCGGCCCGGUAAGUCAAAGGUGAAAUCCCUCGGCUCAACUGAGGAACUGCCUUUGAAACUGUCGGGCUUGAGGCCGGGAGGGGGUAGCGGAAUUCCCAGUGUAGCGGUGAAAUGCGUAGAUAUUGGGAGGAACACCGGUGGCGAAGGCGGCUACCUGGACCGGUUCUGACGCUGAGGUGCGAAAGCGUGGGGAGCAAACAGG
Molecule: ribosomal RNA, 253 nt
Filed under: uncultured bacterium
Lineage: Bacteria
Description: partial 16S ribosomal RNA
Rfam family: Bacterial small subunit ribosomal RNA
Source: RNAcentral